Long non-coding RNA from Neodiprion virginianus, 675 nucleotides. RefSeq lists it as uncharacterized. The record is from RefSeq and is a predicted model, not a curated record. NCBI's taxonomy places the organism in Eukaryota, Metazoa, Arthropoda, Insecta, Hymenoptera, Diprionidae. The transcript is spliced from 2 exons.
GUGGUGCUCCCGACAACGGUGGCAACAGCGAUUGCAGGUUCUCCUUUUAACUGCGUAAUUAACACAUUUAAAUUUCAACAUGCAACUUUGUAUCAAUGAACGUCACGUCGGUUAUUUUAUGUAACCUUAUUUCCACCCACGAUAUGACCACAUGUUGAACACGCUGUCCUAUACGCUCCAUACUUGAUUACACGAGUGAGGGUUAGAAACCACUUCUUGAUAUAGAAAAUAAAAAAAUAUCGGAAAUGGGUUAUAAUACAGGGAUGAAGUUAUAUGUAUAGUGUACUUAUAGCUCUGCACACAUACCUCACUAUCACACAUGGGAUACUGAAAAUUUCUCUAGAUUUAGUUUCAGACUGUUCCUAAUAGCGUAUUCAGAUAUCUGAUCGACUUCACGAAAUAUUUUUGUUAACCCUUAACGCAAUAGCUUCGUGGAAGACAAGCUUUUCAUUCAUACUGAUCUUAACUCAUAUGUUAAUCUCUGUGACAAAUCAAUUUCUAUUUUAUAAAAUAAAUGUUCUUUUCCCAUUCAGGCAUAAGCGAUUAUGUUUUACACUGUUGGUGAGAUUGAAUUCCCUAAGUUCAGAUGUGAACCAUCUAGAAUUGGAGAAAUAUUCAAAUUUUUUAACCAACACCGAAGAGUAACUAGAGCCAUAUGUAACUUGUAAAAAAUAU